AAAGUCGUAACAAGGUUUCCGUAGGUGAACCUGCGGAAGGAUCAUUAACGUGUGUCUGUGCGGACGGGUUAAACCCCGAACGCGCACUCCCACCCUUGUCUAUCUUACCUGUUGCUUCGGCGGGCCUGCGGGUUUAACGACCCGCUGCCGGGAAGCCCCCCUAAAAAGGGGUCUCCGGGCUCGCGUCCGCCGAAGACAAAUGAACUCCAGUCGAAGUUUGAAGUCUGAAGAAAAUUGAUAAAUAAAUCAAAACUUUCAACAACGGAUCUCUUGGUUCCG
Molecule: unclassified non-coding RNA, 279 nt
Filed under: Ascomycota sp.
Lineage: Eukaryota; Fungi; Ascomycota
Description: partial contains small subunit ribosomal RNA, internal transcribed spacer 1, and 5.8S ribosomal RNA
Rfam family: Eukaryotic small subunit ribosomal RNA (bases 1-47)
Source: RNAcentral